AAAAUAUUAACAUGCAAAAUAUUAAUAUGUAAUAAUGAACACAACAGAAGUUCGUGCAAGUUGCAUGAUCGUCGUAGUCUUUUUCCUUUUUUUUUUUCAAUUUAGUAAUGACGAAAUUGAAAUUCCAUUCACUUCAAUAAUAAAUUACAAUAAUAUAAUUGAAUUAAUCAAUAUGAAUUAAAAACCAAUACUCAUGCAAACAACUACUUUUACAUGAUUUUUAUUAUCUAACUCUUAUCAAUAAUAAUAAAAAUUUAAAAUCAUUCAUUCUUCCGUGUUUAUGGAACCAUCACCAAUCAAGUGAUCAAUCUUUCCUUCAGGGUGCUCCUAAAAGUCUGCCACAUCCAAGCAUGUGAUGUCAAGAUUAUUUUCAGAGAGAAAGUUAGCUUCGGGAUUUCUCUCUUUCUUCUUUAGUGAUGCUUGAUAAAGGUCCACUAAGUGCUUGAGAGCACGACAGUCACGUGAAUGGUAUCCUUUUCCACCACAUUAAAAAUAAGUAAUUGCUUCACAUUUCUUAUCUUUUCGCUUAUUGUUUGAUGAAUGAUUAACACCCGAAACAGGAUUUCUUACUUGGUCAUCACGACCACGACCUCAACCACGACCACGUCCACGACCACAUCCAUGACCAAAGCUGUGAUUUUUUCCACGCCUAGCAUAGUGAGCAUGCACAUCAUUCACCUCAGGGAAUGGUGCAGAUCCAGUAGGUUUAUUCUUGUAAUUUUUCAUCAACAAAUCAUUAUUUUGUUCGGCCACAAGAUGAUGAGAACUCAGCACAAUAUAUUUCUUAAAAUCUUUUUCUUGAUAUUAUUGUUGUAAUAGCACAUUUGAGGCAUGAAAAUAGAGUGUCUUUUCCAUCACAUCGUCAUUAUUGACCAUCUCUCCACAUAGUUUUAAUUGAGAAGAAAUUCUGAACAUGGCAGAAUUGUACUCAUGGACAGACUUAUAGUCUUGAAAUCUCAGAUGCAUCCAUUUAUAUCAUGCUUUCGGGAGGAUGACCAUCUUUAAGUGGUCAAACCUUUCUUUUAGGCUAUUCCAUAAUUCGAGUGGAUCCUUAGUAGUGAGGUAUUCAAUUUUCAGAAUUUCGUCAAGAUGAUGAUGCAAGAAAAUCAUAGCCUUAGCACGAUUUUGACUAGAUGUUGUAUUUUUAGCUUUUAUGGCGUCUCUAAGACCCAUAGUAUCUAGGUGGAUUUCAGCAUCCAACACCCAUGAAAUAUAGUUUUUGGCCAAACUUUGAAGGGAAAUGAACUCACACUUCGUAGUAUUGUUAGCCAUAAAAAGGGAAGAAAAAUAAUAAUACCUUAGCCUUAGCCUUCAAAUUUGAGACGGUAAAGUCUCGUGCUGAUAACGUGUUAUAAAACAAGAAAGAACAGAGAAGAAAAAGAGAAUAGAGAGAGUAAUUGUUACUUCUCUUGAGGGAUGAUUUACAAAGAAGGAAGCCCUUCUAUUUAUAGAGGGAAUUUUCCUCUAGUUUCAUACUAAAAGAUAAAUACAUCAAAUUCUGAUAGACAUCAAAUAGAUCUUGAUAGACAUUCACUAUAAUUGAUAUAUAUCAUAACAAAUAAUUUAUUCAUUCAUCUCAAAUUAGUUAUCCAAAACUUUCCAUAAAUGUGCUACUAUUCUAUGGUAAUAUUAAUUUUCAGACUCGGUAUAUCUAAUAAUUAACUAAAACAGUAUCACUACUCAUCGAUAAUAUGUAUUUCUGAACUAAGCAUACACGUGCAUCGCACGUGCUUUAAAACUAGAUAUAUAUNNNNNNNNNNNNNNNNNNNNNNNNNNNNNNNNNNNNNNNNNNNNNNNNNNNNNNNNNNNNNNNNNNNNNNNNNNNNNNNNNNNNNNNNNNNNNNNNNNNNNNNNNUAUAUAUAUAAUAUAUAUACUAGAGGUGCAUGGCCGUGUUAGCACGGGCCCAACACUAUAGACAUUUUUAGCACCAAAAAUCGAUAUUGAUGAGAUAAAAACAUAAAUGUACAUUGAACUAAAAUGAUAACUUUUUAAAUAAUAACUAUUUGACCAUACUCGCUAAGGAUUGAAGUUUUAUAAGAUAGUUUUUUCACAUGAUAAGAAAGUAUGAUAUGUCGUGUAGUCGGGAUAUUUUAACUAUUUGAUGAUAAGAUUGAGACCUAUUACAAAAUAUAGAAAAGAUGUAGAACUAAUAUUCAUAAGAUUAUUUCAAACAAAAACUGGAACAAAAGAUACUUCAAUUAACAACAAAGUCUUGGAUCAUCUUCUCAAAGGCAAAACACUUAUAAAUACAGAUAUUGAAAUGUUUUGAACCACUACUAAGUUAAGAAAUUCUUAUAGAUAGGUGCACAGUAUUAUCAGAUCUAGAUAUCCAAAUAUAACAACAUUUAGAAUUGGGGUGGCAGCGCGAAAAAUAUUUUCAAGAUUAACUAUUGUGAUUUAUAAUACUUUUUAUGUAAUUUUUAAAUGAUAUAUGUUAUACCCUCUGUCUCAAUUUAUGUGGUAUUGAUACAAUUUUUUAGAGUUAACUAAAUUUUUU
RNAcentral lists this long non-coding RNA (2498 nucleotides) under Capsicum annuum. RNAcentral describes it as "long non-coding RNA (CANN_LNC012710)". Lineage: Eukaryota; Viridiplantae; Streptophyta; Magnoliopsida; Solanales; Solanaceae. The record is from RNAcentral.